ACAAAAUGUGUGCGUUCGUAAUAGCCUGCGUAGUUCUUCUUCAUUCUUCACUGGAGAUUCUUUCUCUAGACUACUCGUAGCUGAGCAGAGUUGGGUGCAACGGAUCAAGUGACGGUGAGAAAUGAUCUACGGCCUACUCACCGCAACCUUCUUCAUCGCUAUGGUCACCACAGUCGUCCCAGUGGUCACACACGAAUGACAUGGGGAUGCAGUAGCCAUUGGCACACUGGUACUGAUGGAGUGGACAGUGCUCCGUUGCUGAGGAGGACAUGAUGGCAGUGGCAGUCAGCAACAAGGUGCAAGGGGAGCUGGAGGACCCCUUGACACUGAAAUGGUGGACCUGCAGGAGCAAGCAGGAACUUCAAGAGCUGGAGAGGAUGGCUCAACUUACCCUGUGAGAUGGAUCCAUUCACCCUCACUCUCACUCACCAUCAGCGUCAAGAGCACUUUUUGGGCAACCUCAUCAUUUUGAGAUGACUGAGCACACUGUUACAAUUUCAGCUCAUAAAGGGUAGACAUCCUGAAUUUUGUAUAGACUAAUUUUAUUUCUAUAGACCCUUUCAUCAAUAAAAACAAAAACAAUGCUUGAACGUUCUAUUUGGGCCCCAAUCUACUUCCU
Molecule: long non-coding RNA, 619 nt
Organism: Alosa sapidissima (American shad)
Lineage: Eukaryota; Metazoa; Chordata; Actinopteri; Clupeiformes; Clupeidae
Exons: 4
Source: RefSeq, a predicted model, not a curated record